Oncorhynchus tshawytscha (Chinook salmon) is the source of this 3764-nucleotide long non-coding RNA. Lineage: Eukaryota; Metazoa; Chordata; Actinopteri; Salmoniformes; Salmonidae. The record is from Ensembl.
UACCAAACCACUUCACCGUGAGAUAAAAGUAGAUUAAAAUACCACCACAAACAUUAUUCAAAAAUCACAUUUUUUAUUUUCUUACAAGAAUUCAGUUAAUAAAACAUCUAAUCCCAAAGUGAUUGGAAAGCAACACUUCACAAAACAAGACCAAAGUACACACCUUACAAAUUAUCUAAGCAAUACCAGUAAUAAACAAGGUUAUCAUUUUGUGCAAAAUUAUAUUAAAUUUGGCUCCAUGCUCCCGAGUGGUGUGACGUGGUUUAAAGUGACUGCGCUGCAUGCCAAUAAGAAGUCAGUAGUGGUUUCUAAGAUAGCUGCGCCGCCUUGUGGUACAUCGUGGUAUUACAUGAAUGCUGCGCCACCCUGUGGUACAUCGUAGUAUUACAUCUAACCUACCAGUGGGCAUUUCUCCAUUCCACUCAGUCAGUCAGUAAUCUCACAUUCCUUCUGUAUAAGUGGAUACUCACACAGUACACAAUACAAAUCGACGUAUGAAAAUAGUGUGCGACCAGUGUCAUCUACCUAUGAAAACAAUCCUACCAUUUAAAAAGAAGUGUGUUAUAUCAAAAACAUAGGAUACCAUAGUGCAUCAGAUUGUACAAGAUUUGCAUCCAUCAUUGUGUUCGUCCAGAACUCUCUGCCAGAAGCAAAGGAAUUACCCCACAGUAUACAGCACAGUGAAAAACACAUGUUUAAAGUCAGUCAGACAUUUAGAUUGGAGUUGGUGAUUAGAAACAAGCAGUCCACAGACGUCAUCAUAUGGCUAUAGAUGGUUAAACAUGCAGAAGAGAAAGGCAAGUCUUAUUGUACCUAACACACUGUGCAGUUGUUCCUCUUUAAAAGGUCUCAGUCAGUUGUUCCUCUUUAAAAGGUCUCAGUCAGUUGUUCCUCUUUAAAAGGUCUCAGUCAGUUGCUCCUCUUUAAAAGGUCUCAGUCAGUUGCUCCUCUUUAAAAGGUCUCAGUCAGUUGUUCCUCUUUAAAGGUCUCAGUCAGUUGUUCCUCUUUAAAAGGUCUCAGUCAGUUGCUCCUCUUUAAAAGGUCUCAGUCAGUUGUUCCUCUUUAAAAGGUCUCAGUCAGUUGUUCCUCUUUAAAGAUCUCGGUCAGUUGCUCCUCUUUAAAAGGUCUCAGUCAGUUGCUCCUCUUUAAAAGGUCUCAGUCAGCUGUUCCUCUUUAAAAGGUCUCAGUCAGUUGUUCCUCUUUAAAAGGUCUCAGUCAGUUGUUCCUCUUUAAAAGGUCUCAGUCAGUUGUUCCUCUUUAAAAGGUCUCAGUCAGUUGUUCCUCUUUAAAAGGUCUCAGUCAGUUGUUCCUCUUUAAAAGGUCUCAGUCAGUUGCUCCUCUUUAAAAGGUCUCAGUCAGUUGUUCCUCUUUAAAAGGUCUCAGUCAGUUGCUCCUCUUUAAAAGGUCUCAGUCAGUUGUUCCUCUUUAAAAGGUCUCAGUCAGUUGCUCCUCUUUAAAGAUCUCGGUCAGUUGCUCCUCUUUAAAGGUCUCAGUCAGUUGCUCCUCUUUAAAAGGUCUCAGUCAGUUGUUCCUCUUUAAAAGGUCUCAGUCAGUUGUUCCUCUUUAAAAGGUCUCAGUCAGUUGUUCCUCUUUAAAAGGUCUCAGUCAGUUGCUCCUCUUUAAAAGGUCUCAGUCAGUACACUUAUCAGUGGUGGCUGGUGCCACCUUGAAUCUGAGGAGGGACUCAUAGUAAUGGCUGGAAUGAAUAGACAGGCAUCAAACACAUCUAGACUUGGUUUCUUCCCAGUGUUUGACUCCGUUCCAUCUAUUCCAUUCCAGCCAUUAUUAUGAGCCGUCCUCCCUUGACCAGCCUCCAAUGACUCUCUUGUACAUAGGGAGGCUAUCACUUUGUGUUUGCUGUUUGCUUAAAGGGAUAGUUCAUCCAAAUUACACUAUAACCUUUAAAUUCAGAGGGUUCCUGAGUUGUUGGAAUAGAGAUAUUGCUGCUUAAGGUUCUUUAUUCCUUAGCCCUCUGAUAUCUCUCUACUGUUCUAGAGCCCUCUGAUAGCUCUCUACUGUUCUAGAGCCCUCUGAUAUCCCGCUACUGUUCUAGAGUCCUCUGAUAUCUCGCUACAGUUCUAGAGCCCUCUGAUAUCUCGCUACUGUUCUAGAGCCCUCUGAUAUCUCGCUACUGUUCUAGAGCCCUCUGAUAUCUCGCUGCUGUUCUAGAGCCCUCUGAUAUCUCUCUACUGUUCUAGAGCCCUCUACUGUUCUAGAGCCCUCUGAUAUCUCACUACUGUUCUAGAGCCCUCUGAUAUCCCUCUACUGUUCUAGAGCCCUCUGAUAUCUCGCUACUGUUCUAGAGCCCUCUGAUAUCCCUCUACUGUUCUAGAGCCCUCUGAUAUCUCGCUACUGUUCUAGAGCCCUCUGAUAUCCCUCUACUGUUCUAGAGCCCUCUGAUAUCUCUCUACUGUUCUAGAGCCCUCUGAUAUCCCUCUACUGUUCUAGAGCCCUCUGAUAUCCCUCUACUGUUCUAGAGCCCUCUGAUAUCUCUCUACUGUUGUAGAGCCCUCUGAUAUCUCUCUACUGUUCUAGAGCCUUCUGAUAUCUUGCUACUGUUGUAGAGCCCUCUGAUAUCUCUCUACUGUUCUAGAGCCCUCUGAUAUCUCUCUACUGUUCUAGAGCCUUCUGAUAUCUCGCUACUGUUCUAGAGCCCCCUGAUGUCUCUCUACUGUUCUAGAGCCCUCUGAUAUCUCUCUACUGUUCUAGUGCCCUCUGAUGUCUCUCUACUGUUCUAGAGCCCUCUGAUAUCUCUCUACUGUUCUAGAGCCCUCUGAUAUCCUCUCUACUGUUCUAGAGCCCUCUGAUAUCCCUCUACUGUUCUAGAGCCCUCUGAUAUCUCUCUACUGUUGUAGAGCCCUCUGAUAUCUCUCUACUGUUCUAGAGCCUUCUGAUAUCUUGCUACUGUUGUAGAGCCCUCUGAUAUCCCUCUACUGUUCUAGAGCCCUCUGAUAUCUCUCUACUGUUGUAGAGCCCUCUGAUAUCGCUCUACUGUUCUAGAGCCUUCUGAUAUCUCGCUACUGUUCUAGAGCCCUCUGAUGUCUCUCUACUGUUCUAGUGCCCUCUGAUGUCUCUCUACUGUUCUAGAGCCCUCUGAUAUCUCUCUACUGUUCUAGAGCCCUCUGAUAUCUAUACUGUUCUAGAGCCAUCUGAUGUCCCUCUACUGUUAUAGAGCCCUCUGAUAUCUCUCUACUGUUGUAGAGCCCUCUGAUAUCUCUCUACUGUUGUAGAGCCCUCUGAUAUCUCUCUACUGUUCUAGAGCCCUCUGAUAUCUCUCUACUGUUCUAGAGCCUUCUGAUAUCUCUCUACUGUUCUAGAGCCCUCUGAUAUCUCUCUACUGUUCUAGAGCCCUCUGAUAUCUAUACUGUUCUAGAGCCAUCUGAUGUCCCUCUACUGUUCUAGAGCCCUCUGAUAUCUCUCUACUGUUGUAGAGCCCUCUGAUAUCUCUCUACUGUUCUAGAGCCCUCUGAUAUCCCUCUACUGUUCUAGAGCCAUCUGAUGUCUCUCUACUGUUCUAGAGCCCUCUGAUAUCUCUCUACUGUUCUAGAGCCCUCUGAUAUCCCUCUACUGUUCUAGAGCCAUCUGAUGUCCCUCUACUGUUCUAGAGCCCUCUGAUAUCUCUCUACUGUUCUAGAGCCCUCUGAUAUCUAUACUGUUCUAGAGCCAUCUGAUGUCCCUCUACUGUUCUAGAGCCCUCUGAUAUCUCUCUACUGUUCUAGAGCCCUCUGAUAUCUCUCUACUGUUCUAGAGCCCUCUGAUAUCUC